This 322-nucleotide ribosomal RNA is filed under the name uncultured eukaryote. RNAcentral's name for it is "partial 18S ribosomal RNA". It matches the Rfam family "Eukaryotic small subunit ribosomal RNA", at positions 1470 to 1796 of the family's 1831-position model. The record is from RNAcentral.
CCCUUAGAUGUUCUGGGCCGCACGCGCGCUACACUGAUGCAUUCAACGAGCCUAUCCUUGACCGACAGGUCCGGGUAAUCUUUGAAUCUGCAUCGUGCUAGGGAUAGACUAUUGCAAUUAUUGGUCUUCAACGAGGAAUUCCUAGUAGACGUAGUUCAUCAGACUGCAUCGAUUACGUCCCUGCCCUUUGUACACACCGCCCGUCGCUCCUACCGAUUGAAUGCUCAGGUGAGCCAUUCGGACUUUCAUCAUGCUGGUUUCCAGUUUUGAUGAAGGAAAGUCUUGCGAACCUUAUCAUUUAGAGGAAGGAGAAGUCGUAACA